GCGCCCGUAGCUCAGCUGGAUAGAGUACCUGGCUACGAACCAGGUGGUCGGAGGUUCGAAUCCUUCCGGGCGCG
This is a non-coding RNA of Thioalkalivibrio sp. K90mix, 74 nucleotides long. Lineage: Bacteria; Pseudomonadati; Pseudomonadota; Gammaproteobacteria; Chromatiales; Ectothiorhodospiraceae. The record is from Rfam.